GAAGAUAUAGCUCAGUUCGGGAGAGCAUACACCUUGAAAGUGUAAGGUCAUUGGUUCGAAUCCAAUUAUCUUCU
This 74-nucleotide transfer RNA is filed under the name Fusobacterium sp. RNAcentral describes it as "tRNA-Ser". It matches the Rfam family "tRNA". Rfam says of the family: Transfer RNA (tRNA) molecules are approximately 80 nucleotides in length. Their secondary structure includes four short double-helical elements and three loops (D, anti-codon, and T loops). The record is from RNAcentral. Lineage: Bacteria; Fusobacteriati; Fusobacteriota; Fusobacteriia; Fusobacteriales; Fusobacteriaceae.